CCAGCAGCCGCGGUAAUUCCAGCUCCAAUAGCGUAUAUUAAAGUUGUUGCAGUUAAAAAGCUCGUAGUUGGAUUUCGGAAGGUCCUUAGCAGUCCGCCCCUUCGGGGAGCGGGUUGCUGGCCUCCUAUGUUCCUAACGGUCCUCAUCCGCGAGGGUGGGGAAUCAACCGCUAGGAUCGUUUACUUUGAGGAAAUUAGAGUGUUCAAAGCAGGCGUAACUCGCCUCCGAAUACGUUAGCAUGGGAUAAUGGAAUACGACUUCGGUCUUGUUUCGUUGGUUUCGCUUGGCUGAAGUAAUGAUUGAUAGGGACAGUUGGGGGCAUUAGUAUUUAGUUGUCAGAGGUGAAAUUCUAGGAUUUACUAA
Molecule: ribosomal RNA, 363 nt
Filed under: uncultured eukaryote
Lineage: Eukaryota
Description: SSU rRNA
Rfam family: Eukaryotic small subunit ribosomal RNA
Source: RNAcentral